CAAUAGCGUAUAUUAAAGUUGUUGCAGUUAAAAAGCUCGUAGUUGGAUUUCUGGUGGGAGCGAUUGGUCUGGCGCUUAGCGCGAGUACUUGCAUCGUCUCCGGCCAUCCUUGGGGAGAGUCUGUCUGGCAUUAGGUUGUCGGGCAGAGGAUCCUCAUCGUUUACUGUGAAAAAAUUAGAGUGUUCAAAGCAGGCUUAUGCCGUUGAAUAUAUUAGCAUGGAAUAAUAAGAUAGGACUUUGGUACUAUUUUGUUGGUUUGCGCACCAAAGUAAUGAUUAAUAGGGACAGUUGGGGGUAUUCGUAUUCCGUUGUCAGAGGUGAAAUUCUUGGAUUUACGGAAGACGAACUACUGCGAAAGCAUUUACCAAGGAUGUUUUCAUUAA
This 383-nucleotide ribosomal RNA is filed under the name uncultured eukaryote. Its description in RNAcentral is "partial 18S ribosomal RNA". It matches the Rfam family "Eukaryotic small subunit ribosomal RNA", at positions 592 to 976 of the family's 1831-position model. The record is from RNAcentral.